GGGAUGAGCUCAAAUUUAAAAUCUGGCGGCCUCAGGUCGUCCGAGUUGUAGUCUAGAGAAUCGUUUUCCGCGUUGGCCUGUGUACAAGUCCCUUGGAACAGGGCGUCAUAGAGGGUGAGAAUCCCGUCCUUGACACAGAUUACCAAUGCUUUGUGAUGCGAUCUCGAAGAGUCGAGUUGUUUGGGAAUGCAGCUCAAAAUGGGUGGUAAAUUCCAUCUAAAGCUAAAUAUUGGCGAGAGACCGAUAGCGAACAAGUACCGUGAGGGAAAGAUGAAAAGCACUUUGGAAAGAGAGUUAAACAGUACGUGAAAUUGUUAAAAGGGAAACGAUUGAAGUCAGUCAUGCUUUCCGAGACUCAGCCGAUUCUGUCGGUGUACUUCUCGGUUGGCAGGCCAGCAUCAGUUUCGAUCUGUGGAAAAGGUUGGAGGGAACGUGGCAUCCUCGGAUGUGUUAUAGCCCUUCUUCGAAUACAUAGAGCGGGACUGAGGAACGCAGCGCGCCUUUAUUAGGUUGGCCCUCGGGUACAUACGCGCUUAGGAUGCUGGCAUAAUGGCUUUAAACGACCCGUCUUGAAACACGGACC
Molecule: ribosomal RNA, 583 nt
Filed under: Mrakia gelida
Lineage: Eukaryota; Fungi; Basidiomycota; Tremellomycetes; Cystofilobasidiales; Mrakiaceae
Description: eukaryotic LSU rRNA
Rfam family: Eukaryotic large subunit ribosomal RNA
Source: RNAcentral